This 440-nucleotide ribosomal RNA is filed under the name uncultured bacterium. RNAcentral's name for it is "bacterial SSU rRNA". It matches the Rfam family "Bacterial small subunit ribosomal RNA", at positions 338 to 773 of the family's 1533-position model. The record is from RNAcentral.
CCUACGGGAGGCAGCAGUCGGGAAUUUUGGGCAAUGGGCGAAAGCCUGACCCAGCAACGCCGCGUGGAGGAUGAAGUUUCUCGGAAUGUAAACUCCGUAAGAAUGGGACGAAUAAGGAGGGGUCAAUACCCCCUCCGAUGACGGUACCAUUCGUAAGCUCCGGCUAACUCCGUGCCAGCAGCCGCGGUAAUACGGGGGGAGCAAGCGUUGUUCGGAUUUACUGGGCGUAAAGGGCGCGUAGGCGGCGCAACAAGUCACUUGUGAAAUCUCCGGGCUUAACCCGGAGCGGCCAAGUGAUACUGUCGUGCUAGAGUGCGGAAGGGGCUACUGGAAUUCUCGGUGUAGCGGUGAAAUGCGUAGAUAUCGAGAGGAACACCUGUGGCGAAGGCGGGUAGCUGGGCCGACACUGACGCUGAGGCGCGAAAGCUAGGGGAGCGAAC